AUUGAACGCUGGCGGCAUGCCUUACACAUGCAAGUCGAACGGUAACAGGUUAAGCUGACGAGUGGCGAACGGGUGAGUAAUGCAUCGGAACGUGCCCAGUAGUGGGGGAUAGCCCGGCGAAAGCCGGAUUAAUACCACAUACGACCUAAGGGUGAAAGGGGGGGAUCGCAAGACCUCUCGCUAUUGGAGCGGCCGAUGUCAGAUUAGGUAGUUGGUGGGGUAAAGGCCUACCAAGCCGACGAUCUGUAGCUGGUCUGAGAGGACGACCAGCCACACUGGGACUGAGACACGGCCCAGACUCCUACGGGAGGCAGCAGUGGGGAAUUUUGGACAAUGGGCGCAAGCCUGAUCCAGCCAUGCCGCGUGCGGGAAGAAGGCCUUCGGGUUGUAAACCGCUUUUGUCAGGGAAGAAAAGCUCUGGGUUAAUACCCUGGGGUGAUGACGGUACCUGAAGAAUAAGCACCGGCUAACUACGUGCCAGCCGCCGCAGUAA
RNAcentral lists this ribosomal RNA (493 nucleotides) under uncultured bacterium. RNAcentral describes it as "partial 16S ribosomal RNA". It matches the Rfam family "Bacterial small subunit ribosomal RNA", at positions 30 to 523 of the family's 1533-position model. The record is from RNAcentral.